CAACCCCUCAGGCCCUGGUGCCUGGCGUCGGGGCGUUCCCCUCACCGGGAAGCCCCCAGAGACAGUGGCGGACCCGCCGCGGCUCCGAGCGCAGUAGUAAAAUAUCUCGCUUAGGAGGCCCGCGGGGGGACCUUCCGGCCGUAAAACCCGGGCGCGAGCCCGAACUCUCAA
Molecule: unclassified non-coding RNA, 171 nt
Filed under: uncultured Microascales
Lineage: Eukaryota; Fungi; Ascomycota; Sordariomycetes; Microascales
Description: sequence contains ITS2
Source: RNAcentral